AAGACUCUGCACUAAUUGUAUUUCAGUCUUGCUGGCAUAGUCAAAUCCCGUCCCGAUGACAGCUAGUCUUCACUAUGGUUCUGCUAUCACUGCAUUUGACUGCAUAAAAGAGGGUCAAUUAAUGAACUGCUUCUUUGGGUAGAUGUACAGAGCUGACUGACACGCUUCGUUGGUAGGAGAUGUGACAUGAAGAGCAGUGAUCUGCAAACUUGUUUGCAUAAGUACUCUUGAGGUACAUUGAAUACAGUUGUCUUUUCUCAUUGUGUGUUCAUGUGGGCAAGGUUUUCAAUCUCCAUCAUCUUCAGAUUCCUUCUGGUGGGUUUGGGCUUCAGGGACCCUCUUCAAAUUCCCUUCCCGCACUGUAAUUCUACCAUUCUGCCAAUAAACAAGGUAGCAUGACUUAAA
Long non-coding RNA from Myotis brandtii (Brandt's bat), 405 nucleotides. RefSeq lists it as uncharacterized. Lineage: Eukaryota; Metazoa; Chordata; Mammalia; Chiroptera; Vespertilionidae. The record is from RefSeq and is a predicted model, not a curated record. The transcript is spliced from 2 exons.